This 498-nucleotide ribosomal RNA is filed under the name uncultured bacterium. RNAcentral describes it as "partial 16S ribosomal RNA". It matches the Rfam family "Bacterial small subunit ribosomal RNA", at positions 30 to 523 of the family's 1533-position model. The record is from RNAcentral.
AUUGAACGCUGGCGGCAUGCCUUACACAUGCAAGUCGAACGGUAACAGGUCUUCGGAUGCUGACGAGUGGCGAACGGGUGAGUAAUACAUCGAAACGUGCCUAGUAGUGGGGGAUAACUACUCGAAAGAGUGGCUAAUACCGCAUGAGAUCUACGGAUGAAAGCAGGGGAUCGCAAGACCUUGUGCUACUAGAGCGGCCGAUGGCAGAUUAGGUAGUUGGUGGGAUAAAAGCUUACCAAGCCGACGAUCUGUAGCUGGUCUGAGAGGACGAUCAGCAACACUGGGACUGAGACACGGCCCAGACUCCUACGGGAGUCAGCAGUGGGGAAUUUUGGACAAUGGGCGCAAGCCUGAUCCAGCAAUGCCGCGUGCAGGAUGAAGGCCUUCGGGUUGUAAACUGCUUUUGUACGGAACGAAAAGCCCUGGGUUAAUACCCUGGGGUCAUGACGGUACCGUAAGAAUAAGCACCGGCUAACUACGUGCCAGCCGCCGCAGUAA